UCUCCGUUGGUGAACCAGCGGAGGGAUCAUUACAGAGUUUUUAACUCCCAAACCCAUGUGAACUUACCAUUGUUGCCUCGGCGGAGCCUACCCUGUAGCUACCCUGUAGGGUGGUUACCCUGUAGCGCCCCGCCGGUGGAUGUUCAAACUCUUGUUAUUUUUAGUAAUCUGAGCGUCUUAUUUUAAAUAAGUCAAAACUUUCAACAACGGAUCUCUUGUUUCUGCCAUCAAUGAAGAAGGCAGC
This 244-nucleotide unclassified non-coding RNA is filed under the name uncultured fungus. RNAcentral's name for it is "sequence contains ITS1, 5.8S rRNA gene". Lineage: Eukaryota; Fungi. The record is from RNAcentral.